AAUCAACGCUGGCGGCGUGCCUCAGACAUGCAAGUCGAACGCGAAAGGCUCCUUCGGGGGCCGAGUAGAGUGGCGCACGGGUGAGUAACACGUAGGUAAUUUGCCUUUGGGUGGGGAAUAACUCAGGGAAACUUGAGCUAAUACCGCAUAAUGCAGCGGCUCGACAUCGAGACAGUUGUUAAAGCGGGGGAUUCGCAAGAACCUCGCGCCUGAAGAGAAGCCUGCGGCAGAUUAGCUAGUUGGUAGGGUAAUGGCCUACCAAGGCAACGAUCUGUAACCGGCCUGAGAGGGCGGUCGGUCACACUGACACUGACAUACGGGUCAGACUCCUACGGGAGGCAGCAGUCGGGAAUUUUGGGCAAUGGGCGAAAGCCUGACCCAGCAACGCCGCGUGAAGGAUGAAA
This 404-nucleotide ribosomal RNA is filed under the name uncultured bacterium. RNAcentral's name for it is "bacterial SSU rRNA". It matches the Rfam family "Bacterial small subunit ribosomal RNA", at positions 32 to 413 of the family's 1533-position model. The record is from RNAcentral.